RNAcentral lists this ribosomal RNA (728 nucleotides) under uncultured Staphylococcus sp. RNAcentral describes it as "bacterial SSU rRNA". It matches the Rfam family "Bacterial small subunit ribosomal RNA", at positions 60 to 770 of the family's 1533-position model. Lineage: Bacteria; Bacillati; Bacillota; Bacilli; Caryophanales; Staphylococcaceae. The record is from RNAcentral.
AGUCGAGCGAACGGACGAGAAGCUUGCUUUUCUGAUGUUAGCGGCGGACGGGUGAGUAACACGUGGAUAACCUACCUAUAAGACUGGGAUAACUUCGGGAAACCGGAGCUAAUACCGGAUAAUAUUUUGAACCGCAUGGUUCAAAAGUGAAAGACGGUCUUGCUGUCGCUUAUAGAUGGAUCCGCGCUGCAUUAGCUAGUUGGUAAGGUAACGGCCUACCAAGGCAACGAUGCAUAGCCGACCUGAGAGGGUGAUCGGCCACACUGGAACUGAGACACGGUCCAGACUCCUACGGGAGGCAGCAGUAGGGAAUCUUCCGCAAUGGGCGAAAGCCUGACGGAGCAACGCCGCGUGAGUGAUGAAGGUCUUCGGAUCGUAAAACUCUGUUAUUAGGGAAGAACAUAUGUGUAAGUAACUGUGCACAUCUUGACGGUACCUAAUCAGAAAGCCACGGCUAACUACGUGCCAGCAGCCGCGGUAAUACGUAGGUGGCAAGCGUUAUCCGGAAUUAUUGGGCGUAAAGCGCGCGUAGGCGGUUUUUUAAGUCUGAUGUGAAAGCCCACGGCUCAACCGUGGAGGGUCAUUGGAAACUGGAAAACUUGAGUGCAGAAGAGGAAAGUGGAAUUCCAUGUGUAGCGGUGAAAUGCGCAGAGAUAUGGAGGAACACCAGUGGCGAAGGCGACUUUCUGGUCUGUAACUGACGCUGAUGUGCGAAAGCGUGGGGAUCA